UAGAGGGGUUGGGUGCGGUCUGCUUCCCUGCCCUCUUGUGGAGAGGAACAAAAGGAAAAACAGGACUUGUUUUCUUAGCUGCUAUGUCAUGAGGACACUCAUAUAUGAAGAGGCCCUUCUGGAGGGGAACUGAGGCCUCCUGUCAAUGACAAUGUGAGCGAGCUUGGAAGUGGAUGCUCUAGCCCCAGAGAAAGUCUUAGAUGACUGUAGCCCUGGCCGACAGCUUGACUGCAAUUUCAUGAGAGACCCUGAGUCACAACCACCCAGAUAGGUUGCUCUCAGAUUCUUGACUGUCAGAAAUGGUGUGAGAUGCUGGAAAGACUCGAAUGGCUGGGGCUGGAAUCACCUGGUGCCUGAGCUGGGAUGACGUAGAAGGCUCAGCUGGCACUGCUGUCUGGAGAGCCUACACAUGGUCCGUCCACGUGGGUUGGCUUCUCAUAGCAUAGCAGCUGGGCUCCAAGAGGGAGUGUCUCAUGGACUAUCCCCAGUCAGUGAGUUUUUCAGUGGCCAGAGGGUAACCUCCAGGAUAAUAACCCUGGACUCACUGCGCUUCUUGAACUGAAACCCUUUCUCUGUCCUGGAUCCUCUGGUUGGAGAGUUCUCUGAGCUCCUUGGGCCCAGCUCCCAGACGCUGUGUCUUGGAGUGAUUUCC
Long non-coding RNA from Rhinolophus ferrumequinum (greater horseshoe bat), 652 nucleotides. RefSeq lists it as uncharacterized. Lineage: Eukaryota; Metazoa; Chordata; Mammalia; Chiroptera; Rhinolophidae. The transcript is spliced from 4 exons. The record is from RefSeq and is a predicted model, not a curated record.